GGCGUUGGUUAAACGGUCGCGGUGCGGGCCCGCAAGGGCACUGCAUCGAGGAAAGUCCGGGCUGCAUAGAGCAAGGUGCCAGAUAACAUCUGGGGGGCGAGAGUCCACGGACAGUGCAACAGAGAACAGUCCGCCAGCGGCUCGUCGCAAGGCGAGUGCGGGCAAGGGUGAAACGGUGCGGUAAGAGCGCACCGCGUCGGUGGCAACACGCGACGGCACGGCAAACCCCACCUGCAGCAAGGCUAAAUAGGGGGAGCAUGGCGCGGCUCGCGUCUUCCCCGGGUUGGCUGCUUGAGGCCGACGGUGACGUCGGUCCCAGAGGAAUGACCGUUCACGACAAAACCCGGCUUAUCGACUGACCCGGGC
RNAcentral lists this RNase P RNA (366 nucleotides) under Rhodanobacteraceae bacterium. Its description in RNAcentral is "RNase P RNA component class A". It matches the Rfam family "Bacterial RNase P class A". Rfam says of the family: Ribonuclease P (RNase P) is a ubiquitous endoribonuclease, found in archaea, bacteria and eukarya as well as chloroplasts and mitochondria. Its best characterised activity is the generation of mature 5'-ends of tRNAs by cleaving the 5'-leader elements of precursor-tRNAs. Cellular RNase Ps are ribonucleoproteins. The record is from RNAcentral. Lineage: Bacteria; Pseudomonadati; Pseudomonadota; Gammaproteobacteria; Lysobacterales; Rhodanobacteraceae.